Long non-coding RNA from Molossus molossus (Pallas's mastiff bat), 789 nucleotides. RefSeq lists it as uncharacterized. The transcript is spliced from 3 exons. Lineage: Eukaryota; Metazoa; Chordata; Mammalia; Chiroptera; Molossidae. The record is from RefSeq and is a predicted model, not a curated record.
CCCGGUGGGGCGCCCCGGCCGGCUCCGAGCUCCCGAGCCAUGGAUGCGCGCGCGGCAGCGGUUCGGCCGGACCUCAGCCACGUUGUCCGUGGCGGCCCGAAGCGGACCUCAGCCUGCGUUCCCACGCCAGCAAUCGGGAGGCUGGUUUGAGUGCAUUUGAGUUUAUUGCUCAUAUAAACUGUGUGCAGGAGUUUUUCAUAGAAGCGAGGGUUUUGGUGGAAGGGAACGGCCUCGUGUGAGCGCACCCUGGCCCGGCGCGAGGUCAGGCCGCGUGGACGCGCCACGCGGCUCGGGGCAGCCCCGCGGUGUCCGGCGCAGAACCUGCGGGAACCGGACGAGUGUCACCAGCUUGGCAGGGGAAAGAUGGCUCUUGAAGCACACACAGACUGCUGCUAGCUGAAUACUACCUGGGAGCACAAAGAUGACCUAAGGGUGUCCUUGGUGAAGAAUUUGAAAACUUGAUCUUCACAGGAAGAGUCUGAGGAGGAACAGAGCUGCCUCUGGACAGUUCAUAAAUAUACAUUUAAAAUAAUGGGCCUGUGAAUAAAUAUUUAAAUGUGCUUCUUGGGGGUUUGUGUAUUUUGUGACUGCCAGAAAACCUUGUUUUAUUUUUUUUUAAAAAUCAGAGUUUCUCCCUCUUCCCCCGGCAACUUCAAAAUUGUAAGAUCUCAGCAGUUAAGAUUAAUAUUCAGUUCUGUAACUGGAAGGCUUAUGAAAUAAAGGUUUAUGCGAGGCCCAAAGAGAAAUGUUGCUUUCCUCCAGUGCCUCAUGGUGAGCUGAACUAGCCUC